RNAcentral lists this ribosomal RNA (252 nucleotides) under uncultured bacterium. Its description in RNAcentral is "partial 16S ribosomal RNA". It matches the Rfam family "Bacterial small subunit ribosomal RNA", at positions 525 to 776 of the family's 1533-position model. The record is from RNAcentral.
ACGAAGGGGGCUAGCGUUGCUCGGAAUGACUGGGCGUAAAGGGCGCGUAGGCGGUUUACACAGUCAGAUGUGAAAUUCCAGGGCUUAACCUUGGGGCUGCAUUUGAUACGUGUAGACUAGAGUGUGAGAGAGGGUUGUGGAAUUCCCAGUGUAGAGGUGAAAUUCGUAGAUAUUGGGAAGAACACCGGUGGCGAAGGCGGCAACCUGGCUCAUUACUGACGCUGAGGCGCGAAAGCGUGGGGAGCAAACAGG